RNAcentral lists this ribosomal RNA (465 nucleotides) under uncultured bacterium. Its description in RNAcentral is "partial 16S ribosomal RNA". It matches the Rfam family "Bacterial small subunit ribosomal RNA", at positions 338 to 795 of the family's 1533-position model. The record is from RNAcentral.
CCUACGGGAGGCAGCAGUAGGGAAUCUUCCACAAUGGGCGAAAGCCUGAUGGAGCAACGCCGCGUGGGUGAAGAAGGUCUUCGGAUCGUAAAACCCUGUUGUUAGAGAAGAAAGUGCGUGAGAGUAACUGUUCACGUUUCGACGGUAUCUAACCAGAAAGCCACGGCUAACUACGUGCCAGCAGCUGCGGGAAUACGUGGGUGGCAAGCGUUAGCCGGAUUUAUUGGGCGUAAAGGGAACGAAGGCGGUCGUUUAAGUCUGAUGUGAAAGCCUUGGGCUUAACCGGAGUAGUGCAUUGGAUACUGGGGGACGUGAGUGCAGAAGAGGAGGGUGGAACUCCAUGUGUAGCGGUGAAAUGCGUAGAUAUAUGGAAGAACACCAGGGGCGAAGGCGGCUCUCUGGUCUGUAACUGACGCUGAGGUUCGAAAGCGUGGGUAGCAAACAGGAUUAGAUACCCGUGUAGUC